Molecule: ribosomal RNA, 483 nt
Filed under: Triticum aestivum (bread wheat)
Lineage: Eukaryota; Viridiplantae; Streptophyta; Magnoliopsida; Poales; Poaceae
Description: partial small subunit ribosomal RNA
Source: RNAcentral
AUGUCUAUCGUGGAGAUCGCCCCACUGAUUUAUGAAAAAGUUCCAAGGCGGCAGCGCAAGACCCCUUCUGUCUGCGAUGCCCUAGCCGACCGUUCCUGGGCAUGGGACACCUUCGGUUCUCUUGGGCCGGCGGCGCUGGUCCAGUACGUCCAGCUAUGGCAGCGGCUACGUCAGCUCACUCUCUCGGACUCUUCGGACUCACUGACUUGGCGAUGGACCGCCAACGGCGCCUACACCGCGAGCUCGUGCUACCACGCAAUGUUCCUUGGCUCCAUCCAGCCCCCCCCCCCCCACUGGCGGCUUACCUGGCGCCCCUGGGCGCCACUUCGCGUGAAGAUCUUCUUCAGGCUUGCAGUCAGGGAUCGAUGCUGGACAGUGGAGCGCCUCACUAGGCGUGGCCUCCAACACGGCUCUUCGUGCUCCCUGUGUGACCAGGCACCGGAAACCAUGGCCCAUCUCCUCUUGGGAUGCCCGUUCGCGUGA